This is a small nuclear RNA of Otolemur garnettii (small-eared galago), 164 nucleotides long. Its record names the gene U1. It matches the Rfam family "U1 spliceosomal RNA". From Rfam's summary of the family: U1 is a small nuclear RNA (snRNA) component of the spliceosome (involved in pre-mRNA splicing). The record is from Ensembl. NCBI's taxonomy places the organism in Eukaryota, Metazoa, Chordata, Mammalia, Primates, Galagidae.
AUACUUACCUGGCAGGGGAGAUACCAUGAUCACGAAGGUGGUUUUCCUAUGGAGAGGCUCAUCCAUUGCACUCCCGAUGUGCUGACCCCUGCGAUUUCCCCAAACGUGGGAAACUCAACUGCAUAAUUUGUGGUAGUGGCAGACUGUGUUUAUGCUUUCCCCUG